UACGACAGGGGCUAUCGUUGUUCGGAAUUACUGGGCGUAAAGAGCACGUAGGCGGCCUUGUAAGUUGGGGGUGAAAUCCCGGGGCUCAACUCCGGAACUGCCUUCAAGACUGCAAAGCUAGAGGACGCGAGAGGUUAGCGGAAUUCCGAGUGUAGAGGUGAAAUUCGUAGAUAUUCGGAAGAACACCAGUGGCGAAGGCGGCUAACUGGCGCGUUUCUGACGCUGAGGUGCGAAAGCGUGGGGAGCAAACAGG
This 253-nucleotide ribosomal RNA is filed under the name uncultured bacterium. RNAcentral describes it as "partial 16S ribosomal RNA". It matches the Rfam family "Bacterial small subunit ribosomal RNA", at positions 524 to 776 of the family's 1533-position model. The record is from RNAcentral.